Harpegnathos saltator (Jerdon's jumping ant) is the source of this 480-nucleotide long non-coding RNA. RefSeq lists it as uncharacterized. NCBI's taxonomy places the organism in Eukaryota, Metazoa, Arthropoda, Insecta, Hymenoptera, Formicidae. The record is from RefSeq and is a predicted model, not a curated record. The transcript has 3 exons.
CUGGAUGACAUCCUAGGACUCUCUAGGGGACUGCCUACGAUUGGGACGAACGCUAUAUCGGGAAAUAAGCAAUAGAAAAAAUUAAUCCGCCUUUAUCGGUAAAUAAUCAGACUCCGUUAGAAGAUAACAAUUCUAAAAGUAACUAGAGAUGAUUGUACGGACAGAAUUAAAAUUACAUACCUGAUAAAGGUGAAUGGCAACGUGGUAAGGUAGGCGACGUGGUGGCGAUGAAAGAUUUGCGAUGAACCGCUUUAGCGGUACGACGAGGAAUGUUGAAAUCACGCUGGAAAGAAUGACAAAAUAUCGUUAAUGAACACUUUCCACAUUGCAAGCAGUCUCUUCCGUCUCAUUUUCAAACACAAGCACUCUAGCAGAGUUGCCGUGCGAACGCAGUCGUGGCCUGCUCGGCCUGUUUCUCGACUGAUCCAUGAUUUCAGUCACUGAGUCUUUAUUCGAUAAAUACGACAGCUGGAAAUAAAC